GACGAACGCUGGCGGCGUGCUUAACACAUGCAAGUCGAACGGAAAGGCCCUGCUUUUGUGGGGUGCUCGAGUGGCGAACGGGUGAGUAACACGUGAGUAACCUGCCCUUGACUUUGGGAUAACUUCAGGAAACUGGGGCUAAACCCGAUAAGAAGUUCCGGUGGAAUGGGGGGGGUUGGAAGGUUUCGGCGGUUGGGGAUGGACUCGCGGCUUAUCAGCUUGUUGGUGGGGUAGUGGCUUACCAAGGCUUUGACGGGUAGCCGGCCUGAGAGGGUGACCGGCCACAUUGGGACUGAGAUACGGCCCAGACUCCUACGGGAGGCAGCAGUGGGGAAUAUUGCACAAUGGGCGGAAGCCUGAUGCAGCAACGCCGCGUGCGGGAUGACGGCCUUCGGGUUGUAAACCGCUUUCGCCUGUGACGAAGCGUGAGUGACGGUAAUGGGUAAAGAAGCACCGGCUAACUACGUG
This 468-nucleotide ribosomal RNA is filed under the name uncultured bacterium. RNAcentral describes it as "partial 16S ribosomal RNA". It matches the Rfam family "Bacterial small subunit ribosomal RNA", at positions 28 to 507 of the family's 1533-position model. The record is from RNAcentral.